AGUUAUGCUCCGGGAAAGGUAUGGCUAGGCAACAAAAAAUAAAUAUGCGGGUUUCCGGUUUCCCGACCCUACCUAGCUUUUGGACGUCGAAAUCCCGACCCUAAACUUUUUUUAUUGGAUCAUGCUUGUAAGUGUUUCCACUUAGAGGAAAAAGUUUGUGGAAAAUUGAAAUUUGAGGAAAUAUUAGGGACAUUUAUCUUUGGAUGUGGAAGCACUGACUAAACAAAAUGGCGUCCGCUUAUUCGGAAAAUUAAAAAAAAAAUUUAAAAAAAAAAGUUAAAACCGACCUACCCUACCUAAGUUUUUAUAAGAAGAAACCGGAAACCCACAUAUUUUUUUUUUGGCCCUAGUCUAUAUUAUUACAAUCUCGCUUACUAAUAAUAAAAUCUUUAUUUAAACUGCAUAAUUGUGUCAGCUGACAAUAUGAUGACCGCUGGUAUUAAUACAAGUGCAAAUGUGCAAUAAAUCGCUACAAUGUUGGCAAAGACAAAC
Molecule: non-coding RNA, 492 nt
Organism: Paramuricea clavata
Lineage: Eukaryota; Metazoa; Cnidaria; Anthozoa; Malacalcyonacea; Plexauridae
Source: the annotation of a GenBank genome assembly